RNAcentral lists this ribosomal RNA (206 nucleotides) under uncultured bacterium. Its description in RNAcentral is "partial 16S ribosomal RNA". It matches the Rfam family "Bacterial small subunit ribosomal RNA", at positions 1286 to 1500 of the family's 1533-position model. The record is from RNAcentral.
CCUCAGUUCGGACUGGGGUCUGCAACCCGACCCCACGAAGCUGGAUUCGCUAGUAAUCGCGCAUCAGCCAUGGCGCGGUGAAUACGUUCCCGGGCCUUGUACACACCGCCCGUCAAGCCAUGGGAGCCGGGGGCGCCUGAAGUGCGGUACCGCGAGGGCCGCCCAAGGGCGAGACCGGUGACUGGGCUAAGUCGUAACAAGGUAUC